CGGGACGGGUGAGUAACGCGUGGGUAACCUGCCUUGUACAGGGGGAUAACAGUUGGAAACGGCUGCUAAUACCGCAUAAGCGCACGGCAUCGCAUGGUGCAGUGUGAAAACUCCGGUGGUAUAAGAUGGACCCGCGUUGGAUUAGCUAGUUGGUGAGGUAACGGCCCACCAAGGCGACGAUCCAUAGCCGACCUGAGAGGGUGACCGGCCACAUUGGGACUGAGACACGGCCCAG
RNAcentral lists this ribosomal RNA (235 nucleotides) under uncultured bacterium. RNAcentral describes it as "partial 16S ribosomal RNA". It matches the Rfam family "Bacterial small subunit ribosomal RNA", at positions 100 to 334 of the family's 1533-position model. The record is from RNAcentral.